This 1400-nucleotide long non-coding RNA is filed under the name Homo sapiens (human). RNAcentral describes it as "EIF3J divergent transcript, transcript variant 2 (EIF3J-DT)". Lineage: Eukaryota; Metazoa; Chordata; Mammalia; Primates; Hominidae. The record is from RNAcentral.
GAGUGCUGGGUCGGGCUUCCAGCUCCCUACAACGCAGACCAGUACUGGAGUUCGUGGUGCUGGAAGACCGCCGCCCGACUCUGGGCCCCGGGUAGGAAACAACAAUUUCGGACCUCCUGGGGUCUAUGCUAGGUAUGAGGUGUAUCUUUGCCCUCCAUCAAGUAGCAAAGAUGGACAUGUAAACAAAUUUCGACACUGUGAUGACUGCCACAAAAAGCAGCAUUAUGAGGUUGAAUGUAAAAGGAUAACCUUAGCGGCGGCGGGGGCCGGAGGAUGAAGGAAGGCUUCCUGAGGUAGGCGCUGGUUGAAACUGAAGUUGGAGAGAGCAAGUGGCAUUUGCUGAAGUGCAUUUCCGGUAGAAAACUCCAGUGGUCCCUCACCUGACUGAGUGGCGCAGUCAGAGAUAAAUGGAACAGAGUCUACAAAUAAACAUUUUAUAAAGAUGAUCCUUCAAUACAUAUUCUACAGCCCAGUUAAAAUGUGAGAGGCCAUGAUCUACAGACAGCCAUUUAUAAAGGUGGAUCAGGGCCGGACACGGUGGCUCAACGUCUGUAAUCCCGGCACUGUGGGAGGCCAAAGCGGGAGGAUCGCUUGAGCCCAGGAGUUCGAGACCAACCUGGCCAACAUGGUGAGACCCCAUCUUUACAAAAAAAUAUAUAUAUCCAGGCAUAGUGGUGUGCACCUGUGGUCCUGUGGUCCCAGCUACUCAGGAAGCUGAGGCAGUUGAGGCUGCAGUGAGCCACGUUCUGGCCACUACACUCCAGCCUGGGCAUCAAAGUGACAAGACCAAAAAAAAAAAAAAAUGUGGAUUGGAAGGAGGCAAGAAAGAAGUCAGGAAAAGGGUGGAAUGUAAGUCCCUAAGGACACAAUCUUACUCACAAUUGUAUCUCCAACAUUUGGCAUAAUGCCUAAUACGUAAGUAUUUUAUGAAUUAAUUAAACGAGAACACAAGCCUAAAUUAAGGCAAUGGCAAUGGAGAAGAAGAAACCAACUUGAGAAAUAUUUAAAGGUCAUUGUCAAUGGAACUUAGUGACUUUAAUGGUUAAUUUUAUCUAUCAACUUGGCUAGGCGAUGCUACCCAUGUUACUCAGUUUUUGGUCAAACACUAGUCUAGUUGUUGCUAUGAAUUGUAUUUGUUAGAUGUGAUUAACAUUUAAAUCAGCAGACUUUGAUUAAAGUACAUUACCCUCUAUAAUGAGGGUGGGCCGCAUCCGGUCAGUUCAAAUUAAAACGAGACCCUUAAGAAGAAGCAAUUCAGCCUCCAGACUGCAGCGUCAAAUCUCCCUGGGUCUCCAGGCUGUUUGUCUGCCCUGCAGAUUUCAGACUUGCCAGCUCCCAGAAUAAUGUGAGCCAAUUCCUUAAAAUAAAUCUCUUUCUGCAUAUACAAAAAAAAAAAAAAA